UAGUGCAGAGGUCCCCAACUACGGUGGCCCAGUAGUGCACAACGCAAUUAAAAAAGCAAGCAUAAACUCACAACACAACGACAUUAAGCCACAACACAACGGAAAUGCUCCUGACCACUAGGGGGCAGUGUUGACAGUUAUUUCCUCGAGACGCCACAAGGUAAGUGAUUGUGUAAUCGAUUUUUAAAUGAACAACGUGUUUUCACUGAAUGUUUUGAUAUCCUGGUAAUCUUAAUGUAUCGAUUCAUGAAUCGAGCAGAAAAUAAAUCAAUAUUAUUUUCGAUUUGGACAGUUUAGUUCUGCUCUAUGCACGGUCACUUCCGCGUUUUUCCUCAGGGGGGCUUGUUUAAAUCCGGUGCUGUGCCGGAAGCCAUUGUUCCUUAAUACGUAGAGCUUUCAAAAUUACAAGAGAAGAUGCUUUUUCAUCUUACAAGAACUUCCCCGGAUUACUGUAAAUUAAUUUCAUCGCACGGAAAAGGGUAUAAAAGGUUUCAAGUUACUUCGACAACUUUAGGAUUGUUUUAAAGGACUGCCAUCCAUACUGUUGCAGCACUGUACCAGACAUCACACUAUUCAGAACUGAGAAUCAGUGCAGUUCCUCCUGUACAGAAUGGAAUGGAGCAGAGCUGGUACAAACCUAGAACAAUGAGAGUCAAGCCAGGUCCUGUCAGUAGGACGGUGGUCCUGUUUGCAAGAGAUUGGUUAAGUCCAUCCCAAGUGUUUUGUGUAAGGCCGGAUCUCUCUGAGGAAGACAGACUGAAAGGUGGACCAUGAAGAGGAGAAACUCAUCGAAGGGCUGCAGAGACUGACGCUG
Onychostoma macrolepis is the source of this 814-nucleotide long non-coding RNA. RefSeq lists it as uncharacterized. The record is from RefSeq and is a predicted model, not a curated record. The transcript is spliced from 4 exons. NCBI's taxonomy places the organism in Eukaryota, Metazoa, Chordata, Actinopteri, Cypriniformes, Cyprinidae.